This 209-nucleotide ribosomal RNA is filed under the name uncultured bacterium. RNAcentral describes it as "partial 16S ribosomal RNA". It matches the Rfam family "Bacterial small subunit ribosomal RNA", at positions 1048 to 1256 of the family's 1533-position model. The record is from RNAcentral.
GCUGUCGUCAGCUCGUGUCGUGAGAUGUCGGGUUAAGUCCCUUAACGAGCGAAACCCUUGUCUCUAGUUGCCAGCGGGUAAUGCCGGGGACUCUAGAGAGACUGCCGGUGUCAAACCGGAGGAAGGCGGGGAUGACGUCAAGUCCUCAUGGCCUUUAUGUCUAGGGCUGCACACGUCCUACAAUGCAACAUACAAAGGGAAGCAAUACC